GUGAGUAGUUCAGAGUUUGUAUCCUGGCUCAGGAUUAACGCUGGCGGCGUGCAUAACACAUUCAAGUCGAACGGUGAACCCUUCGGGGGGAUCAGUGGCGGACGGGUGAGUAACGCGUGAGCAACCUGCCCUUGUGUGCGGGAUACCAACUGGAAACGGUUGUUAAUACCGCAUGACCCAAUAGUACGGCAUCGUACAGUUGGCAAAGGUUCACUGCACAAGGAUGGGCUCGCGUCUGAUUAGAUAGUUGGUGAGGUAACGGCUCACCAAGUCAACGAUCAGUAGCCGGACUGAGAGGUUGAACGGCCACAUUGGAACUGAGAUACGGUCCAG
Molecule: ribosomal RNA, 333 nt
Filed under: uncultured bacterium
Lineage: Bacteria
Description: bacterial SSU rRNA
Rfam family: Bacterial small subunit ribosomal RNA
Source: RNAcentral